This 465-nucleotide ribosomal RNA is filed under the name Vreelandella stevensii. Its description in RNAcentral is "partial 16S ribosomal RNA". It matches the Rfam family "Bacterial small subunit ribosomal RNA", at positions 338 to 795 of the family's 1533-position model. Lineage: Bacteria; Pseudomonadati; Pseudomonadota; Gammaproteobacteria; Oceanospirillales; Halomonadaceae. The record is from RNAcentral.
CCUACGGGUGGCUGCAGUGGGGAAUAUUGGACAAUGGGCGAAAGCCUGAUCCAGCCAUGCCGCGUGUGUGAAGAAGGCCUUCGGGUUGUAAAGCACUUUCAGUGGGGAAGAAAGCCUUGGGGCUAAUACCCUCGAGGAAGGACAUCACCCACAGAAGAAGCACCGGCUAACUCCGUGCCAGCAGCCGCGGUAAUACGGAGGGUGCGAGCGUUAAUCGGAAUUACUGGGCGUAAAGCGCGCGUAGGCGGUCUGAUAAGCCGGUUGUGAAAGCCCCGGGCUCAACCUGGGAACGGCAUCCGGAACUGUCAGGCUAGAGUGCAGGAGAGGAAGGUAGAAUUCCCGGUGUAGCGGUGAAAUGCGUAGAGAUCGGGAGGAAUACCAGUGGCGAAGGCGGCCUUCUGGACUGACACUGACGCUGAGGUGCGAAAGCGUGGGUAGCAAGCAGGAUUAGAUACCCGAGUAGUC